Molecule: non-coding RNA, 261 nt
Organism: Pelobates cultripes (western spadefoot toad)
Lineage: Eukaryota; Metazoa; Chordata; Amphibia; Anura; Pelobatidae
Source: the annotation of a GenBank genome assembly
GUGAUUUAUUUACCUUGUAUUUUUGCUGCCUCCUUUUGGCCCUUUUUGGUAAUGCCCUUGUUCCUCCUGUGAGCAUCAUACAUCUUUUCCUUGUAUGUAAACUCCGCCCCUCUUCUUGCUGUACUUCCUGUGUCAUGGCUGCUUGCAUUUACCUCAUGUAACUGGGACUCUUGUAUCCCACAUGCUAAGCUAAGGAAAGCAUCAUCUUUUGACCGCAUAAUACUGAAAUCCAUUCAUUCUGCUGUAUUCCUGUUGUGUGAU